GGUACAUCAGCGUGUGGGCGGACACAGCGCGGGCGAAGAUUGACAAGGGAGUGGGCGGAGGCUGUGCAGCAGGACCAGCCCCUCUCCUCAAGAGCCAGUCACAAAGUGAGGCUGGUGCAUGGAGGAGGCAGCCAAGGAAACUUGAGGUGAGCCCGGGUCACCGAGCAUCAUUAGAGUGUGAAGGACUCAGAAGUGAACUGGACAGCAGGAGCACAGCCAAGAUGAGAGCAAAGUCCAGCGGCUGGGAUGCCUGUCCAUGCUUCUUGGGACAGCUUGAGAGCUUCAGAGUGUUUCUCAAGGCCACCUUGCAUGCCAAGGGUCCCAAAGACUUAGGAUGGGGUUCAAACCACCACCAUCCAUCCCCGGGGAGAAGGGGUGGUUUGAAGUCUGUUCUUACUGGACCAGGCAGUCUGAGCUGGGCUGACUAGUUGAACAGGACAUGAGUGUCACCUCUCUUGGAUCUGCAGAAGGUAUGGCCCCCUUUCCUCUCAGUGUGCUUUCCUCUUU
Molecule: long non-coding RNA, 507 nt
Filed under: Cricetulus griseus (Chinese hamster)
Lineage: Eukaryota; Metazoa; Chordata; Mammalia; Rodentia; Cricetidae
Description: lncRNA (ENSCGRG00000025962.1)
Source: RNAcentral